Non-coding RNA from Salvia hispanica, 2754 nucleotides. The record is from RefSeq and is a predicted model, not a curated record. Lineage: Eukaryota; Viridiplantae; Streptophyta; Magnoliopsida; Lamiales; Lamiaceae.
AGACCCGUCUAGAACAACACAUUUCCCCUUUUUGACAUAGAUGAGAUUUCGUGAGUUGCAUAAGAGUUAAGGCAGUGCUGUCUAUUAGGUGGGGAGACCUUUUGGUAAGAAUAGCUUGCAUUCAUGGAUCCAGUGACUGGUGAGCAGUUGGAUUAUGAUGACGGAGACUAUGCAGGGAAUCAAAAGAUGCAAUAUCAUCAAGGUGGAGCUAUACCUGCACUUGCUGAAGUGGAAAUGAUUGGCGAGGAUGAUGAAUAUGAUGACCUUUAUAGCGAUGUUAAUGUUGGAGAGGGUUUCCUGCAAAUGCAGCGUUCUGAGACACAAGCGCCUCCUGUGGUAGCAAGUGGUGGGUUUCAAAGUUCGAAAGCUAAUGUUCCUGGAGCUCGAGUGGAAGCAGUGGCCUCGCAAGAGGUGAAAAAUGAAAGGGUUGCUAAUGAAGGAAAUUAUGCUGCUGCUUCAGUUCAAUUUCCUGAUCAGAAGAGUAGCUUGCCAGCCUCGGGGGGUCCGACACAGAUCGUGGAUGCCAGUCAAAGAGGGAGGCUCCCUGAAAUGGGGAAUAAUUCUCAAGCAGCACAUCUGGGAUAUCAAGGAUCAGAAAGUAUGCCUCACAAGAUUGCUGCUGAUCGGAUGAACAGUUCAGAAAAAGUAGUCAGUGAGCCUGCGCCGUUGAUGUAUCCUAACAUGGGUAACACAAAAGGUGUUCCACAGAUUCCACCUAACCAUAUGAACUCUAAUGCAAAUGUUAAUGUAAAUCGCUCAGUGGGUGAUGAAUACAUGGUAAGGCCAUCUGUAGAAAAUGGAAAUACAAUGCUGUUUGUAGGAGAAUUACAUUGGUGGACAACAGAUUCUGAGAUUGAAAGUGUGCUGAUUCAGUUUGGGAAAGUCAAGGAGAUAAAGUUUUUUGAUGAAAGGUCUUGUGGUAAGUCCAAAGGUUAUUGCCAAGUUGAAUUUUAUGAUUCUGCUGCAGCCUCUGCAUGUAAGGAAGGUAUGAAUGGUCACAUUUUUAACGGGAGAGCUUGUGUGGUGGCGUUUGCCACUCCACAGACCAUAAGACAAAUGGGUGCUUCUUACACAAAUAAGACUCAGGGCCAGACUCAGUCCCAACUGCAAGGAAGGAAUCCUGUUAAUGAUGCAGCUGGUAGAGGUAAUGGGUCUGAUCACCCAAGUGGAGACACAGGGAGAAAUUUUGGACGAGGUGGCUGGGCACGAGGGAACCAAGCACCAAAUAGGGGUCCUGGAUCAGGACCUAUGAGAGGAAGAGGGGGUAUGGUAAACGCGAAUAUGAUGGGGAAUGCACCUGGCGCUGGUGGUGGAACUUACGGACAAGGUAUUACUGGUCCUAGUUUCAAUGGAACUCCUGGUAUGAUGCCUCAUCAGGGCAUGAUGGGUCCUGGUUACGAUCUAGCAUUUAUGGGUCGUGGAACUGGUUACGGAGGCUUCUCAGGCCCUGGUUUCCCAGGGAUGCUUCCUCCAUUUCAAGCUGUUAAUUCCAUGGGGCUUCCUGGAGUGGCUCCUCAUGUCAACCCAGCUUUUUUUGGCCGAGGAAUGAAUCCCAAUGGAAUGAGCAUGAUGGGGACUGCAGGAAUGGUAGGACCUCAUUCAGGAAUGUGGAAUGAUACAAACAUGGGUGGAUGGGGAGGGGAAGAACAUGGAAGAGAGUCUAGUUACGGUGGAGAGGAUAAUGCAUCAGAAUAUGGGUAUGGAGAGGGAAGUCAUGACAAAGGUGUAAGGUCUAGUGCUGCUUCCGGGGAGAGAGAGAGAAAUUCUGAUCGUGACGGGUCUAGUGUUCCAGAGAAGCGGCAUAGGGAGGAGAGGGAACAAGAUGGGGACAGAUAUGAUAGGAACUCUAGACACAGAGAAGUGAAGGAUCGUAAUCGGGACUAUCGCCACAAAGAUCGUGAAUCGGGUUAUGAUGACGACUGGGAUAAAGGACAGUCUUCGAGAUCCCGCAGCAGAUCUGGUGCAGUGCAUCAAAAUGAUCACAGGUCUCGAUCUAGGGAUGCUGAUUAUGGGAAACGGAGACGCAUGCCAUCUGAAUGAUAUGAUGUCAUGGGACUUCGAAAUGUUUGACAUCGUCCACUAUGAUUUGUAGUGUCAUUUUGGAUCCUAUGAAGGAUUGCCUCAGGCUUCAAAGAAGAGCAGAGAACCAUUAAUUGCUACACUCUUGGAUAUCCAUGAAUGCUUUACUCUAUGAGUGCAAAGAAGCAUUUAUCAUGUAUGCAAUUGCUUUGUAUUCCUGAAGCAUAUACCAAAUAUUGAGUCGUGAUCUUGGAAGAAUUUGUAUGAAAAGUAACAUUUCAAUUCUUCAAGAAUAUUUUUGAGCAAAACCUGGAUGAUGCACUGUAGUUUCAUUAGUAUAUAUUCCAUGUAUUGGAUAUGUUCCCCACAUGUAAUAAUCUGAUCUACUAUGUGCACCUCCUCUUUGAGUUUGUAAAAGUGAUGUACUAUUUUUAGACCAUGUCUUCUGGUCAUGUAUGCUGAGGUUGUGGUUUGAGUUGCGAGUCUUGUAAGCUGCAUCAAAGACAUAAUGUGCUGAAACGUGAAAUGCUGCGGUGGCAGAAGAGUUGUGUCUGUAAAUGCUCUUUAUCUCCUGUAAGCUCAGACUGUGUCUGUAAAAUGUAAAUGCAGUGUAUCCGAUUCCCCUGUAAGUGUAAGCCUAAUUGAGUCGUGUCUGUAAAUGUUGUGUAUCCGAUUCCCAUAUGAGCUUGUUUAUGUGAUACUGUUUGUCCUCAUAUUGGAAAGCUCUUUUUCUCA